This is a long non-coding RNA of Nematostella vectensis (starlet sea anemone), 898 nucleotides long. RefSeq lists it as uncharacterized. NCBI's taxonomy places the organism in Eukaryota, Metazoa, Cnidaria, Anthozoa, Actiniaria, Edwardsiidae. The record is from RefSeq and is a predicted model, not a curated record. The transcript is spliced from 2 exons.
GAGGGGGACUGGGCAUGAUUACAUCGCCAUAUUGGAUUUGCUCAACCCGAGAAGGGUUGAGCAAAAUUCAUGUGCUUUAUCGUCAUACUACUUACGCUCCCAACAAAACAACACAUACACCGAGUCGAUAGGCCCACUCACUAAAUCUGUUCUAAGCGUUUUUGGCCGGGCUAUUCAUAUCGAUCUCAUCAAGAGAACCUGUGACUACAGGUUACCGCUCAAAAUUGCUAAAAACUGCUGAAAAACACUUCAAACUACUAAAAAUAUAUCAUAUGUAAUAUUAUUGACUCUUUGAGAUGGCUCCCGGUUAUAUCCGCUUUCUUAUUAGCAAUAUUACGAAGUCCUUAAAGGCGAAGUUUUACUUCGUUGUUUUGUCAGCUCUUGCAACAGCCAAGAGAGUUGAAUAAAUCUGAACAACAGAUUACCCACGAGGAAGCUAACGUAACAGCCGAUGCGCCAUUAGAUAAUCAUGAUGAAAAGGAAAGCUGUCAAACAACUCAGCAGGGUUAUCAGAAGAUUUGAUUGAUGCAUGGACAGCAACAAGUAUGAGUCUGGCUCCUGGAGUUUUAUUCUAUCUAAUCACCUUGGAUGUAAAGUUCCAAAGAUUCUUAUUGAGAUAGCAAUAGAAUCAAGAUGUACAUAGACAUUCUUUAUGGGUUGUUUACGCUGGAAUUCUCACCAUUCCAUGCUUCUUUUGUAAAUUGAUCAUACAGCUAAUUGUUGUUGAACAGCUAUUUCUAGAAGCAAAGUUUUGUGAAGAGACAAGAAUAAAAACAAAUCUUGUGAACAUGCACCAAAAUAAAUUGUUAUUGUAUUUCUCUACAGAGUAAAAAAAGGAUAUCAAUUGACAUCAUUUGAUUUAUACUCUUUUGAAAAUAAAAUUUAGAAAUGGUUGGCA